GAUGAACGCUGGCCGCGUGCCUAACACAUGCAAGUCGAACGAAGCACUUUAUUUGAUUUCUUCGGAAUGAAGGUUUAGUGACUGAGUGGCGGACGGGUGAGUAACGCGUGGGUAACCUGCCUCAUACAGGGGGAUAACAGCUGGAAACGGCUGCUAAUACCGCAUAAGCGCACAGCAUCGCAUGAUGCAGUGUGAAAAACUCCGGUGGUAUGAGAUGGACCCGCGUCUGAUUAGCCAGUUGGCAGGGUAACGGCCUACCAAAGCGACGAUCAGUAGCCGACCUGAGAGGGUGACCGGCACAUUGGGACUGAGACACGGCCCAAACUCCUACGGGAGGCAGCAGUGGGGGAAUAUUGGCACAAUGGGGGAAACCCUGAUGCAGCGACGCCGCGUGAGCGAAGAGUAUUUCGGUAUGUAAAGCUCUAUCAGCA
Molecule: ribosomal RNA, 431 nt
Filed under: uncultured bacterium
Lineage: Bacteria
Description: bacterial SSU rRNA
Rfam family: Bacterial small subunit ribosomal RNA
Source: RNAcentral